Molecule: transfer RNA, 82 nt
Organism: Toxocara canis (dog roundworm)
Lineage: Eukaryota; Metazoa; Nematoda; Chromadorea; Rhabditida; Toxocaridae
Rfam family: tRNA
About the family: Transfer RNA (tRNA) molecules are approximately 80 nucleotides in length.
Source: Rfam
GUAGCGAUGUCCGAGUGGUUAAGGAGUUUGACUCGAAAUCUAAUGGGCUGUGCCCGCAUAGGUUCGAAUCCUGCUCGCUGCG